RNAcentral lists this small nuclear RNA (165 nucleotides) under Salvator merianae (Argentine black and white tegu). RNAcentral describes it as "U1 spliceosomal RNA (ENSSMRG00000012397.1)". It matches the Rfam family "U1 spliceosomal RNA". From Rfam's summary of the family: U1 is a small nuclear RNA (snRNA) component of the spliceosome (involved in pre-mRNA splicing). Its 5' end forms complementary base pairs with the 5' splice junction, thus defining the 5' donor site of an intron. Lineage: Eukaryota; Metazoa; Chordata; Lepidosauria; Squamata; Teiidae. The record is from Rfam by way of RNAcentral.
AUACUGAACUGGCAGGGGAAUCACCUUGAUCACAAAGGAGGUCUUCCCAGGAUGAGCCUCAACCAUUACACUCUGGCUGUGUUUGACCCCUGCAGUUUCCCCACAUGCGGGAAACUCGAGUGUUUAAUUUGUGGUAGUGGGGGACUGUGUGUGUGCUUUCUUUUG